RNAcentral lists this ribosomal RNA (468 nucleotides) under uncultured bacterium. RNAcentral describes it as "partial 16S ribosomal RNA". It matches the Rfam family "Bacterial small subunit ribosomal RNA", at positions 28 to 507 of the family's 1533-position model. The record is from RNAcentral.
GACGAACGCUGGCGGCGUGCUUAACACAUGCAAGUCGAACGGAAAGGCCCUGCUUUUGUGGGGUGCUCGAGUGGCGAACGGGUGAGUAACACGUGAGUAACCUGCCCUUGACUUUGGGAUAACUUCAGGAAACUGGGGCUAAUACCGGAUAGGAGCUCCUGCUGCAUGGUGGGGGUUGGAAAGUUUCGGCGGUUGGGGAUGGACUCGCGGCUUAUCAGCUUGUUGGUGGGGUAGUGGCUUACCAAGGCUUUGACGGGUAGCCGGCCUGAGAGGGUGACCGGCCACAUUGGGACUGAGGGAGGGCCCAGACGCCUACGGGAGGCAGCGGUGGGGAAUAUUGCACAAUGGGCGGAAGGCUGAUGCAGCAGCGCCGCGUGCGGGAUGACGGCCUUCGGGUUGUAAACCGCUUUCGCCUGUGACGAAGCGUGAGUGACGGUAAUGGGUAAAGAAGCACCGGCUAACUACGUG